This 67-nucleotide transfer RNA is filed under the name bovine gut metagenome. It matches the Rfam family "tRNA". From Rfam's summary of the family: Transfer RNA (tRNA) molecules are approximately 80 nucleotides in length. Their secondary structure includes four short double-helical elements and three loops (D, anti-codon, and T loops). The record is from RNAcentral.
GGUGGUAGCUCAAUUGGUAGAGCUUUAGCCUUCCAAGCUAAUGGUUGUGGGUUCGAGUCUCAUCCAC